UACGUAGGCAGCGAGCGUUGUUCGGAGUUACUGGGCGUAAAGCGUGCGUAGGCGGUGGUCCAAGUCUGGUGUGAAAUCUCCCGGCUUAACUGGGAGGGUGCGCCGGAAACUGGGCCGCUGGAGUACGGGAGAGGCAAGCGGAGUUCCAGGUGUAGCGGUGAAAUGCGUAGAUAUCUGGAGGAACACCCGUGGUGCAGACGGCUUGCUGGACCGUGACUGACGCUGAGGCACGAAAGCGUGGGUAGCAAACAGG
Molecule: ribosomal RNA, 253 nt
Filed under: uncultured bacterium
Lineage: Bacteria
Description: partial 16S ribosomal RNA
Rfam family: Bacterial small subunit ribosomal RNA
Source: RNAcentral